Molecule: unclassified non-coding RNA, 267 nt
Filed under: Acaulospora lacunosa
Lineage: Eukaryota; Fungi; Glomeromycota; Glomeromycetes; Diversisporales; Acaulosporaceae
Description: partial contains 5.8S ribosomal RNA and internal transcribed spacer 2
Rfam family: 5.8S ribosomal RNA (bases 1-71)
Source: RNAcentral
GUGAAUCAUCGAAUUUUUGAACGCAAAUUGCACUCUCUGGUAUUCCGGGGAGUAUGCCUGCUUGAGGGUUAGUUUGAUACAAUCCUAAAAAGAAAUCUUUACGGAUCUGGAUUGUCCAAAAGUUAUUUUUUUGGUAAUCUAAAAUUUAUCAUAACAAUAGGUGAUAUUGGAAAUGAUGACCUUUAAUUCAUUAACAAUUAUAACAACAUUUGUAACGUCGUGUUAUUUUCCUAAUUACUUAAUUAUGUAAUAGUAAUAAAAUUUUUC